UGGGGAAUAUUGCACAAUGGGCGAAAGCCUGAUGCAGCGACGCCGCGUGAGGGAUGACGGCCUUCGGGUUGUAAACCUCUUUCAGCAGGGAAGAAGCGAAAGUGACGGUACCUGCAGAAGAAGCGCCGGCUAACUACGUGCCAGCAGCCGCGGUAAUACGUAGGGCGCAAGCGUUGUCCGGAAUUAUUGGGCGUAAAGAGCUCGUAGGCGGUUAGUCGCGUCUGCUGUGAAAACUCGAGGCUCAACCUCGGGCUUGCAGUGGGUACGGGCUGACUAGAGUGCGGUAGGGGUGACUGGAAUUCCUGGUGUAGCGGUGGAAUGCGCAGAUAUCAGGAGGAACACCGAUGGCGAAGGCAGGUCACUGGGCCGCAACUGACGCUGAGGAGCGAGAGCAUGGGGAGCGAACAGGAUUAGAUACCCUGGUAGUCCAUGCCGUAAAACGUUGGGCACUAGGUGUGGGGUCCAUUCCACGGAUUCCGUGCCGCAGCAAAACGCAUU
This 498-nucleotide ribosomal RNA is filed under the name uncultured bacterium. RNAcentral describes it as "partial 16S ribosomal RNA". It matches the Rfam family "Bacterial small subunit ribosomal RNA", at positions 355 to 861 of the family's 1533-position model. The record is from RNAcentral.